CAGGUUCAGAAAAGGAGUGGCUCUCAACCAGGGGCAGUUGUCCCCUCCGGGGAACACUUGCUAAUGUCUGGACACAGUUUUGGUUGUCACGACUAGGCUGGUGAUGCUGGAGCCACAACAACCACCGGAAACCCCAAGGCGAAGACCAGAGAAUCCCAGAGAUGCAGACAGAGACUUCCUAGAGCUACAGAGUAAGCCAAAUUGGAGUUGCCUUUUCUGGACGUCUUGUUAAGUCUGAUGGGGUUCAUCACAUCUGAGCCAGGACUGGCUUUUCUUGGCUGCAAGCUGAAAGUUGGGUCCAGGUCUGCUGUACUGAGGGUCUCCUAUCUUCCUUGGACAGGGACAACCAGAGGCCUAUUUAUCUCAUGAUGGAAGGCAGGAGAACAAGCAGGCAAGACCAGCUGUGCUAGCACAUGCCACCUCUUUGCCCACGUCACACCUGCUGACGUCCCAUUGGCCAAUGCAAGUCACACAACCAAAGCCAACAUCAACAGGACAAGGAAACAGACUCUGCCUCUAGAUGCACAAACUACAGAGUCACGGACAGAGGACACGGAUCCAGGGAAGGAAGAUGGAGAAUGAGAACAAUGACCCUCAAUAACACAGCCUCCCACAGCUCCCGGCUCACCCACCCAGCAGCUCAGCACCUGCGAAAUCCGUCUCCCGAUGCACACUUGCUAACCGCGUGGGUGUGAGCACAACGAUGGGAAACAGCGGAAGUCCCCGGAGUGCAGACUCAGGAGUGAACCUGCCUGAAGAGUGGCGUCUAACGCACACACUGUGGUCAGCUCCACCCCACUAUGGGUCCCGGGAAUAGGAGCAAGUAUGUAUUUUGCUUGCAGGGCAGGUGUUUCAUCCACAUUAUUGCAGGAACAGAUGAAUUUAAUUAAAAGAACACCACAGUGGGCACCUCUUCCAGGGAUGCCUCCCUCUAAGAACAUGACACUGAGAUGAUCAAGGUUCUAAAAGGGCGAUCAAAUCACUCUCCGAAAAUGAAACUGCUCAGACAGAAUGACAAUUAAAUUAAUAACAACCAAGACAAUGCCCAGAUUUCAUCUCCGCUCACAGCCCCUCCUGUGUGCUGUAUGAUCAGGUUCUUGGGGGUGGCUCCAGAUACAGCAAACAGUCAGGAUUAAUCCACAAGAGUGAGCUGUCAGCAUGAGGUUCCCCUACAGUGGAGCUUGCCAAGGUCCGUGGCUCCCAGGGCACCCGUUCCAGGGCUAACAGAUGAAGCAUGGAAAUGCUGUGUGGAGUGAGCUGAGCAGCCAUUCUCAGGAGAAAACAGACAAAUCCUCCUGCACCCUGGCAAACCAGCUUUGUGGCCUGUUUUAUGUCAUCUUUGCUGAGCUCCACCGGGUCACCCCUCCUGCUGGCUUUGUGAUAUUGACAUUUCAGGCACUGGCACAGAUACAUUGGCCUUCCUGGCUGGGAUUUCACGGACGGAGUGAGCAGUGCUGGCUUGGAGGAGCCGUGGCGGCACAGGGCCUGUGCCCUCAGCUGAUCAGUGCCUGUCCUGACCCCAAAGGGCCCUCGCAGCACUGUUUGAAAUUGCUCUUGCCAUGUUUGGAACCGAUUCCUCGGUACGUUUCAGACUCAUUGUUGUGACUUUGGUUUCAAUCCAGGGACACACCGUGGCCAAUGGAGUGUCUCAACAGCAUCUAUGAUCGCUGUUUCCCAGAGACAGCAUCUCAGAUACCGAUGCUGAAAGAGAAACAGCAGCCUGUCCCCAGGUGGCAGGAAAUAGUCCAUUUUAACGGCAAUUUCAUAAGUGGCAGAUGAUUUUUAUUGUAAUUUUCUGGUGAGCUGAUUAAGUGGAGGCAGAGUCAGUUCUGAGGCGUCAAUGUCUUUAACAACUCGGGGAGACCGAGGCCAUGCUCAGCAGGAACACUAAGUCCAUGGAAAACAGGCCCUGGGCCCGCUGAUGUGCAUAAUUCCACGUUUGCCCCCCAUGUAACCAGGAUGGUAAAUUACAGGUGUCAGAUAAUCACGCUCUGGAGUGGCUACUUGAGGAUGCGAUCGACCAAUUUAAGCUCCGUCUGACACAUGAUCAAUAGCCCGUGAUGCUGCAUGGAAUUGCAGGCACAGCGUCCAAACCUGCAGAGCAGUGGCUCCCAGCUGUGGCAACUUUGCCCCCCAGAGGACAUUUGGCAAUGUCUGGAUAUGUUUGCAAUUGUCACAACUAGGAGAGGGGGAUGCUAUUGGCAUCUGGCGAGUGAGGCCAAGGAUGCUGCUAAACCUCCCAUGAUGCACAGGAGAAGUCCCCACACAGACACAUCCUGCGCAGACUGUCCAUAAAGCUUAAAUGAGAUGCUCUGACUUAGAGCCACAGUGAACAUUCCAUUCCAUCGUCUGGGUAUCUCCAGGGAUGUACGUAGCUGGAUGUCUAGCUUUUCAUCUGGGUAUGACCGGCCUCACGCAGAAUCAAAACCAUGUGUAGGUCGAAUCUCUUAUUUGCUCUCCUGCUUCCUUUCAUUGUAAUAUUCUCCUUCUCAUUAGUAUUUUCUGUUAUUGGAGGAAUGGUAAGAAAACAUAAAAUGCUGGAGAGUUACGAUUUUGUUUCUGUCAAUAAAAAAGUAAUUUGCCAGUGACUCAUAAAAAGCAGAAAA
This is a long non-coding RNA of Homo sapiens (human), 2606 nucleotides long. Ensembl annotates it as long intergenic non-protein coding RNA 1522. The record is from Ensembl. Lineage: Eukaryota; Metazoa; Chordata; Mammalia; Primates; Hominidae.